Molecule: ribosomal RNA, 460 nt
Filed under: uncultured bacterium
Lineage: Bacteria
Description: partial 16S ribosomal RNA
Rfam family: Bacterial small subunit ribosomal RNA
Source: RNAcentral
CCUACGGGCGGCAGCAGUGAGGAAUAUUGGUCAAUGGGCGCGAGCCUGAACCAGCCAAGUAGCGUGAAGGAUGACUGCCCUACGGGUUGUACACUUCUUUUAUAAAGGAAUACAGUGAGGCACGUGUGCCUUUUUGUCAGUACUUUAUGAAUAAGGAUCGGCUAACUCCGUGCCAGCAGCCGCGGUAAUCAGGAGGAUCCGAGCGUUAUCCGGUUUUAUUGGGUUUAAAGGGAGCGUAGAUGGGUUGUUACGUCAGUUGUGAAAGUUUGCGGCUCAACCGUAAAAUUGCAAUUGAUACUGGCAGUCUUGAGUACAGUUGAGGUAGGCGGAAUUCGUGGUGUAGCGGUGAAAUGCUUAGAUAGCACGAAGAACUCCGAUUGCGAAGGCAGCUUACUAAACUGCCACUGACAUUGAUGCUCGAAAGUGUGGGUAUCAAACAGGAGUAGAUACCCUUGUAGUC